AAUAACCCAUCAAGUUGGCUCCGACCGAAUCGCCUUCAAUGCUUAAAUCGGCCAAGAUUUUAGAGCAACAGCGAGAAUAGCAAAAAAAAACAUCAAAGUAGAAUAAUCUUUCUAGAUUGUUAGGCCUUAAAUGCCUAACGUGGAAUGCUCGACCUAAAGUACAUCGUCAAGAGUUUAGCCUCGACUUUUGGGAGCUCAGCCUCAACUUUUAGAAUUUCAGCCAUCAUGAGCUUGGUUGUAGGAGGCACGGUCUGGAAGUGCUUAGCUUGGGAGCUCGGACUCAGAACUUGGCCUAAGUGUUCAUUUUGGAAGCUUGGCCUAAAGUGCUUGGCAUAGAAGCUUGGACUUUAGGAGCUUAAUAGCUCGGCCUCAAACUUGAUAGCUCAGCUAGAGACUUGGUGGCUUGACCUUAGACUCGAUAGCUCAACCUGGUUCUAGUCAGCGGCUGCGCAUCUCACGUGCACAUCGCUCGUAUCUCAGAUGCACAUAAAGGCAGCUUUAAGGACUCGCAUUUUGGUCUUCAAAGACGCAAAUCUCGUACUCACGGCGCUCAGAUCUCAGGUGACAUAGAAAAGUGGCUUCUAAGAAUGCGCAUCUCGGUCUCUAAGGAUGUGCAUCCCAUUUGGAGAGAAGACAGCAUCUCGAAACGAUCAUCGAAGAGGAGUCGAGUGCAAGGAUAGCCAUGAGAGCUUGAGAGAUUCUCCAUAGGAGCCUCUUACAACGAGAGCUUGAG
RNAcentral lists this long non-coding RNA (733 nucleotides) under Phoenix dactylifera (date palm). Its description in RNAcentral is "long non-coding RNA (PDAC_LNC000071)". The record is from RNAcentral. Lineage: Eukaryota; Viridiplantae; Streptophyta; Magnoliopsida; Arecales; Arecaceae.